Molecule: ribosomal RNA, 441 nt
Filed under: uncultured bacterium
Lineage: Bacteria
Description: bacterial SSU rRNA
Rfam family: Bacterial small subunit ribosomal RNA
Source: RNAcentral
AACGCGAAGAACCUUACCUGGGCUCGAAAUGCAGAGGAAGAUGUCAGAAAUGGCUUCGUCCGAAAGGACUUCUGUAUAGGUGCUGCAUGGCUGUCGUCAGCUCGUGCCGUGAGGUGUUUGGUUAAGUCCAGCAACGAGCGCAACCCUUAUCAUUAGUUGCCAACACGUUAAGGUGGGGACUCUAAUGAGACUGCCUAGGUUAACUAGGAGGAAGGUGAGGAUGAUGUCAAGUCCGCAUGGCCUUUAUGUCCAGGGCUACACACGUGCUACAAUGGUCGGUACAGAGGGCUGCAAGACCGUAAGGUGGAGCAAAUCCCAGAAAACCGAUCUCAGUUCAGAUUGUGGUCUGCAACUCGACCACAUGAAGUCGGAAUUGCUAGUAAUGGCGUGUCAGCUACAACGCCGUGAAUACGUUCCCGGGCCUUGUACACACCGCGCAUA